RNAcentral lists this ribosomal RNA (250 nucleotides) under uncultured bacterium. RNAcentral's name for it is "partial 16S ribosomal RNA". It matches the Rfam family "Bacterial small subunit ribosomal RNA", at positions 524 to 773 of the family's 1533-position model. The record is from RNAcentral.
UACGAGGGGAGCAAGCGUUGUUCGGAAUCAUUGGGCGUAAAGGGCGCGUAGGCGGCAGUACAAGUCUGGGGUGAAAGCCCUCGGCUUAACCGAGGAAUUGCCUUGGAAACUGUACAGCUUGAGUAUUGGAGAGGAAAGCGGAAUUCCCAGUGUAGCGGUGAAAUGCGUAGAUAUUGGGAGGAACACCGGUGGCGAAGGCGGCUUUCUGGACAAUCACUGACGCUGAGGCGCGAAAGCCAGGGGAGCAAAC